Molecule: small nuclear RNA, 323 nt
Filed under: Jaculus jaculus (lesser Egyptian jerboa)
Lineage: Eukaryota; Metazoa; Chordata; Mammalia; Rodentia; Dipodidae
Description: 7SK RNA (ENSJJAG00000001454.1)
Rfam family: 7SK RNA
About the family: 7SK was discovered as an abundant small nuclear RNA in the mid-70s but a possible function has only recently been suggested. Two independent studies have found that 7SK RNA binds the CDK9/cyclin T complex (known as elongation factor P-TEFb). P-TEFb activates transcription by phosphorylating the C-terminal domain of RNA polymerase II.
Source: Rfam by way of RNAcentral
GGAUGGGAGGGCAAUCUGGCUGCAACACGUCACCCCAUUGAUCACCAGGGUUGAUUCAGCUGAUCUGGCUAGCUAAGUGGGUGUCCCCUUCUUCCCUCACAGCUCCGCGUGUGUCUCUCCCAAAAUUGCACUGCUCAGUAGAAGAGGAGGACCUUCCCCGAAUAGAGGAGGACCAGACUUCCGUCGAGGGUAUACAAGCAGCUAUGCUCUCCUGCUAGAACCUCUAAAAGGACUACUAAGUAGAAACAUCCUAAAUGUAAAUUGGUAACACAUAUCAGGAUUCUUAAGUGGUCAUGUACUUAAAGAAAAGUAUAAACUUUUAU